RNAcentral lists this ribosomal RNA (307 nucleotides) under uncultured Synergistales bacterium. Its description in RNAcentral is "bacterial SSU rRNA". It matches the Rfam family "Bacterial small subunit ribosomal RNA", at positions 28 to 339 of the family's 1533-position model. The record is from RNAcentral. Lineage: Bacteria; Thermotogati; Synergistota; Synergistia; Synergistales.
GAUAAACGCUGGCGGCGUGCGUAACACAUGCAAGUUGGGCGACGGUGCUGGAGAGUGGUGACACAGGAAGGCAUACGGAGCAGCGGACUGGUGAGUAAUAUAUGAGAAGCUGUCCAUCAGAGGGGGACAACAACUGGAAACGGUUGCUAAUACCUCAUAGGCUGAAAAGUUAAAGCAGUAAUGCGCUGGUGGAGGUGCUCGUAUCCUAUCAACUAGCUGGCGGGGUAACGGCCCACCAGGGUAACGACGGGUAGCCGGCCUGAGAGGGUGUCCGGCCACACUGGAACUGAGAUACGGUCCAGACUCC